GAUGAACGCUGGCGGCGUGCUUAACACAUGCAAGUCGAACGGGAAAUAUUUCAUUGAGACUUCGGUGGAUUUGAUCUAUUUCUAGUGGCGGACGGGUGAGUAACGCGUGGGUAACCUGCCUUAUACAGGGGGAUAACAGUCAGAAAUGGCUGCUAAUACCGCAUAAGCGCACAGAGCUGCAUGGCUCAGUGUGAAAAACUCCGGUGGUAUAAGAUGGACCCGCGUUGGAUUAGCUUGUUGGCGGGGUAACGGCCCACCAAGGCGACGAUCCAUAGCCGACCUGAGAGGGUGACCGGCCACAUUGGGACUGAGACACGGCCCAAACUCCUACGGGAGGCAGCAGUGGGGAAUAUUGCACAAUGGGCGAAAGCCUGAUGCAGCGACGCCGCGUGAGCGAAGAAGUAUUUCGGUAUGUAAAGCUCUAUCAGCAGGGAAGAUAAUGACGGUAC
RNAcentral lists this ribosomal RNA (449 nucleotides) under uncultured bacterium. RNAcentral's name for it is "bacterial SSU rRNA". It matches the Rfam family "Bacterial small subunit ribosomal RNA", at positions 28 to 478 of the family's 1533-position model. The record is from RNAcentral.